This 354-nucleotide ribosomal RNA is filed under the name uncultured bacterium. Its description in RNAcentral is "bacterial SSU rRNA". It matches the Rfam family "Bacterial small subunit ribosomal RNA", at positions 917 to 1271 of the family's 1533-position model. The record is from RNAcentral.
GGGCCCGCACAAGCAGUGGAGCAUGUGGUUUAAUUCGAUGCAACGCGAAGAACCUUACCUGGAUUUGACUUGCAGAGGACGAUGAUCAGAGAUGACAUUUUCCGUAAGGACCUCUGUGCAGGUGCUGCAUGGCUGUCGUCAGCUCGUGCCGUGAGGUGUUGGUUAAGUCCCGCAACGAGCGCAACCCUUAUCGUUAUUUGCCAGCGCGUAAUGGCGGGGACUAUAACGAGACUGCCUGGGUGAACCAGGAGGAAGGUGAGGAUGACGUCAAGUCCGCAUGGCCCUUACGUCCAGGGCUGCACACGUGCUACAAUGGUCGGUACAAUGGGUCGCCACCCAGCGAUGGGGCGCAAA